CAGCCGUAAACUAUGCUCGCUAGGUGUCAGGCAUGGCGCGACCGUGUCUGGUGCCGCAGGGAAGCCGUGAAGCGAGCCACCUGGGAAGUACGGCCGCAAGGCUGAAACUUAAAGGAAUUGGCGGGGGAGCACAACAACGGGUGGAGCCUGCGGUUUAAUUGGACUCAACGCCGGACAACUCACCGGGGACAACAGCAAUAUGUAGGCCAGGCUGAAGACCUUGCCUGAAUCGCUGAGAGGAGGUGCAUGGCGUCAGUGACU
Molecule: ribosomal RNA, 261 nt
Filed under: uncultured archaeon
Lineage: Archaea
Description: partial 16S ribosomal RNA
Rfam family: Archaeal small subunit ribosomal RNA
Source: RNAcentral